GGUGGCGUUGAACAAAGCAACCGUAGCGCUACGCCAGGUGUAAGGCUAUGUUAUGAUAUGGGAGUUACGAUCACCUUAGCACUAAGAUAGCUUUGGGCAGUGCCACCAUGUUCGACAA
Molecule: long non-coding RNA, 118 nt
Organism: Haliotis rubra (blacklip abalone)
Lineage: Eukaryota; Metazoa; Mollusca; Gastropoda; Lepetellida; Haliotidae
Exons: 4
Source: RefSeq, a predicted model, not a curated record